Molecule: transfer RNA, 93 nt
Filed under: Bacteroidetes bacterium ADurb.Bin028
Lineage: Bacteria; Pseudomonadati; Bacteroidota
Description: tRNA-Sec
Rfam family: Selenocysteine transfer RNA
Source: RNAcentral
AGAGAGAACGGGACUGGUGUUCCAAUCGGUCUUCAAAACCGAUAGCAGGCGGAUAAAACCGUCUGUGGCAGGUUCGAUUCCUGCUCUCUCAGC